GCGGUAAAGCUCGUAGUUGGAUUUCUGUUGAGGACGACCGGUCCAUACAACGUAUGCGCAUCUGGUUCGGCCUCGGCAUCCUCUCGAAAGACGUUUCUGCGCUUGAUUGCGUGGAGCGGAUCUCGGGACUUUUACUUUGAGGAAAUUAGAGUGUUCACGGCAGGCUAUCGCCAGAAUACAUUAGCAUGGAAUAAUACUAUAGGAUCUUGAUUCUAUUUUGUUGGUUUCUAGAAUUGAGAUAAUGAUUAAUAGGGACAAUUGGGGGCAUUCGUAUCAACACGUCAGAGGUGGAAUUCUUGGAUUGUGUUGCGACGAACUACUGCGAAAGCAUUUGCCAAGGAUGUUUUCAUUGAUCAAGAACGAAAGUAAGGGGAUCGAAGACGAUUAGAUACCGUCGUAGUCUUUACCAUAAACUAUGCCAACUAGAGAUGGGGCAUCGUUCACUUACGACUUGCUCCGCACCUUAUGAGAUAUCAAAGUCUUUGGGUUCCGGGGGGAGUAUGGUCGCAAGGCUGAAACUUAAAGGAAUUGACGGAAGGGCACCACCAGGAGUGGAGCCUGCGGCUUAAUUUGACUCAACACGGGGAAACUCACCAGGUCCAGACAUAAUAAGGAUUGACAGAUUGAUAGCUCUUUCUUGAUUUUAUGGGUGGUGGGGCAUGGCCGUUCUUAAUUCGUGGAGUGAUUUGUCUGCUUAAUUGCGUUAACGAACGAGACCUUAACCUGCUAAAUAGAAUUGCCUAUCUUCGGAUAAGCGUCUUUCUUCUUAGAGGGACUUUAUGCGUUUCAGCAUGAGGAAGUUUGAGCUAAAACAGGUCUGUGAUGCCCUUAGAUGUUCUGGGCUG
Molecule: ribosomal RNA, 845 nt
Filed under: uncultured Syndiniales
Lineage: Eukaryota; Dinophyceae; Syndiniales
Description: SSU rRNA
Rfam family: Eukaryotic small subunit ribosomal RNA
Source: RNAcentral